RNAcentral lists this unclassified non-coding RNA (587 nucleotides) under Hevea brasiliensis (rubber tree). The record is from RNAcentral. Lineage: Eukaryota; Viridiplantae; Streptophyta; Magnoliopsida; Malpighiales; Euphorbiaceae.
CAAAUUUUCAAUAGCUUCUGCCCACUUGGGAUUAUGAGCCUUCACUUGAUCUUGAAAUAGAUCUCGAGGUAGAGAAAAACCACAAUUUGUACAGGCAACAAUGUAGACAGUCCCAUGCAAUUCAAGAGGAUUGCUUCCAGCUCGGUGAUGCAGCCUGUCCACAUUCUGUGUAAUCAUAAAACUUAUAUGGCCUGCUUUCUCAAGAGAUGAUAGAGCUAUAUGACCUGUACUAGGUUGAGCAGCAGUGAAACGUCGCCAGCCAGCAUAGCUCCGUGCCCAAUAACGCCUUCGAGCCUUGAUUGAUCGUAGAAACUCCUGAUGGGUAAUUGGUUUGAAACCCGUACUAUAAGCUCCGUUUGGGCUUCUGUAAUCCGGAAUUCCACUCUCUGUGCUCAUGCCAGCUCCCGUCAAUACAACAAGCUUGGUACUUCUAUCAAAGAAUUCAUACAAACUAUCCACAUCUUCCGUGCUAGGGGGGUUCGAAUAAGGAACCAUCUUCUUGUGACUCAAAAAAUUUGAAGGCUCUUUAUCUUGACAGCACGAAUAUCAUUUCCAAAGAUCUCAGCAGACUGUCAAGAUAAAGAGCC